GUGAGGAAUAUUGGGCAAUGGGCGAAAGCCUGACCCAGCAACGCCGCGUGAGGGAUGAAGGCCUUCGGGUUGUAAACCUCUUUUCUGGGAGAAGAGACAAGGACGGUAUCCCAGGAAUAAGUCUCGGCUAACUACGUGCCAGCAGCCGCGGUAAUACGUAGGAGGCAAGCGUUAUCCGGAUUCACUGGGCGUAAAGCGCACGCAGGCGGUUAUGUAAGUCGGACGUGAAAGCUCCUGGCUCAACUGGGAGAGGUCGUUCGAUACUGCAUAGCUUGAGGUUGGGAGAGGGAAGCGGAAUUCCCGGUGUAGUGGUGGAAUGCGUAGAUAUCGGGAGGAACACCAGUGGCGAAAGCGGCUUCCUGGCCCAUACCUGACGCUCAGGUGCGAAAGCGUGGGGAGCGAACGGGAUUAGAAACCCUGGUAGUCC
RNAcentral lists this ribosomal RNA (427 nucleotides) under uncultured Chloroflexota bacterium. Its description in RNAcentral is "bacterial SSU rRNA". It matches the Rfam family "Bacterial small subunit ribosomal RNA", at positions 354 to 796 of the family's 1533-position model. The record is from RNAcentral. Lineage: Bacteria; Bacillati; Chloroflexota.